This 442-nucleotide ribosomal RNA is filed under the name uncultured bacterium. RNAcentral describes it as "partial 16S ribosomal RNA". It matches the Rfam family "Bacterial small subunit ribosomal RNA", at positions 338 to 795 of the family's 1533-position model. The record is from RNAcentral.
CCUACGGGAGGCAGCAGUGGGGAAUAUUGGGCAAUGGGCGCAAGCCUGCCCCCGCAACGCCGCGUGAAGGAAGAGGGCUUUCGGGUUGUAAACUUCUUUUGUACGGGAAGAGUAGAAGACGGUAACUGAAGAAUUAGCCACGGCUAACUACGUGCCAGCAGCCGCGGUAAUACGUAGGUGGCAAGCGUUGUCCGGAUUUACUGGGGGUAACGGGCGUGUAGCCGGGUUGACAAGUCAGAUGUGAAAUCCUGCGGCUUAACCGAAGAACUGCAUGUGAAACUGUUGAUCUUGAGUACUGGAGAGGCAGAUGGAAUGCCUAGUGUAGCGGUGAAAUGCGUAGAUAUUAGGAGGAACACCAGUGGCGAAGGCGGUCUGCUAGACAGCAACUGACGGUGAGGCGCGAAAGCGUGGGGAGCAAACAGGAUUAGAUACCCUGGUAGUC